GGAGGUAAUCCUAUUUUCUCCACUGGCAAGUCAUUAUGCAGAAUCUUGGUGACUAUUUGACAAGUGUAUUGAAGAGUGGAUUCUUUUUCAAGUACUGGUUAGACUAGGUGGCCACUGAAUUUCUUUCUAAUUCUAAAAUUAUGUGAUUCUGGCCUUGAGUCAGACUUCUGGUAGUUAUCUCAGAGUUAAAACAGUUCACUGUUUAUUUCUAUUUUCCUGGACUCUGAGCCAAAAGAGGCCGUUCUCAGAUUCUCUGGAGCAUCUCCAGAUAGUAGGAGUUGAGAGAACAAAAUCUGCAGCACAGCGAGCUGAGAAGAGCCACAGCAACAGGGAAUAGAGCUAGCAGGCUCUAGACCCAUUGGCUAUUGGGUGCUUUGGGGUUAUCAACUCAUCUUCUCUGGCAGUUAUCAGUGGUGAGAGUAUUGCAAGUUAGGAUUCUUGCAGUCUCUCCCAUUUCAAAGAUGCUAAAUCUUUCAGGUGGCUUCAGCCUACUGAUCACUGUCACUGGAAUUGCAUUGGUAGUCCUUUUCCUGCUGUUGGUAGCGAUGUGCAUCCACCACAAUGGAGCCGGUGCUCAUGAACCUGACAUAGAGAGGAACUAUAGACACGUGGGCAGAAAUCGUGUCAGGUGGGUCCAUCCUUGGCCAUUACGUGCUGGGGGCCCCCUUGGACGCCUUCACCACAACCACCGAAACCUCCAUGGUCUCCACCCUCUCCAACCAGGCCACCAUCACCAUCAUCUUCACCAUCAUCACCAUCCUCAUCGUCAUCACCAUGGUCACCGGGCUCAUCGCUGACGACUUUGAUUAAGAAAGGCAUCUAUCUCUGUGGAUUUAGCAGUUUGAGGGAGUCCUGCCUUCCUCUGAAAAUGACAGUUUGAUUUUCUAAAGGACAGUUUGAUUUUCUGCAAGAACCUCAGGACCCAUAGAUUGUGACUCAUAAGAAAAGGACAGUUGGAAGUGUUUGAUUUAAUAGUUAUCUGUUAAUAGUUUAUUAUAUAGAUUGUAAAGCUAUACUGUGUAUCUCUGUGUCUUAGACUAUCUGUGUGUAUGUUUCUAUUUUCUUUUUUUCUUCUCUCAUCUUCAUAUCUGUCUGUAUCUCUCUGUUUUUCUGUCUGUUUCUAUCCCUGUCUCUUUCUACUAGGAUAUAUAUUAAAAUACCUUUGAGCUCUAUUCUUAUAGUUCUGUGUUAUGAGGUCUCUUCUAGCCCUAGUAUUCUCUCCUGUUCUUUUCAAUUCUAACAUUUUGUAUUCUGAAAUCUCUUCUAACAUUUUAUAUAUAUGUAUAUAUAUUUACACAUAUACACACAAAUGUACUUAUAUGUCUUUCUCUUUACUUUCUGAAUAAUUGAUCUAUUACAUUCAUAAACAAUAUGAUAUUGCUUAUAUCUGGGCAGGAAAAAGGAUCAUAAAUCUUUAGUUGGAGUAAAAUUUUAAAAACUAUACAGGGCCUUGUAGGGUGGUAAACAUCUGCCUUUCUGUUUGUUUUGGAGGCUUUCAUAAAAAACAACAUAAAUACUUUAUAACUUUUAAUCUCUGAGAAGGUUUAAUUUUGAUCUGCACUUUUUAUUGUUGAAAUAGGAAGAUUUUUGGUGAUGACAUUUAAUAGCUGGUCAAUGGAAAUGAAAAAUUGGUUGAAAAAAUUUUGUAAUCCUUCAAGAAAAUGAUGAAUAUGUAUGUAAAAAAUGAAAUCUUUCAGUGAGCAAACUUGCUAUUGGGAAAUUUUAAUUGGAAAAUUUGAUAAGCUAUCAGGCUGGUUCAACAAUGUUAGAUAGGUUUCAUGACAUUUAUUGAGAGUAAAAAAAAGAAAUGUUUCUUCAAAAAUGUCCCCUUUCCAUUGCUGCUGUUGUUAUUGUUCAGUAGUUUCAGUCAUGUCCAAUGUUUUGCGACCUCAUGUGGGGUUUUCUUGGCAAAGAUACUGGAGUGGUUUGCCAUUUCCUUGUACAGUUCAAUUUACAAAUGAAGAAACUGAGGCAAACAGGAUUAAGUGACUUGCCUAGGCUUACAUAGCUAGUAAUUGUCUGAGACAAUAUUUUAUCUUCCUAACUUUGGGCCUGACACUCUAUUCCUGUGUCAUAUAGCUACCCUUCCCUCUUAUUAUUUAUGUAGGAAUUUUCAUUUGAAAUAAUCAUUUUUUGUCAUUAUUUGAAAAAAAAUUAGUUCUAGUAAGGGUGAGGAAAUUGUCUGCCAAGAAGACAGUUUGACUGAAGAUGCAGUUAUUUUAGGAGACAUUUAUUGUGAGUUGAAGGACUGGGGGGGGCUGUUGUCCAAGGGGGAUUGUUCUGGGGCAACAAGAUAUUGAGACAAAGCAUAAAGGUUAUCUCAGGAAGUUGCUGUUUAUAGGCAUCCUGGGGAAAAGCCUUAUUCACUCCAUAAUAGUUAUGGGUUUGGUCCAGUUUUUAGUGUCUUGAAAUAUAGAAAUUAUCUAUAUAGCAUUUAAAUUAGUGAAGGAAGAAAAGUUAACAGUUCUGCCAUUAACCUUCUGAGAAUCUUGGACAAAGAGCUUCAGCUCUAUGGGUCAGUGUUUAUUCAUCCCCUAAAUGAGGGGGUUGUUUAAUGUGGUGGGUUUUGGAAUAGGACCAAAAUGACAUCACUAUAUUAAAGUCAAGUUACAGGGUGUCCAAAUGUGGCUGAUCAGACUAACAUGAGAUCAGAAUACUCUGCCAUGGGUCAGACACAAAUAGUCCCUGAGAACAUUGGGAUGGAUUCUCUAACUUUGUCCAUCUCAUAUUUUUUUCUGAGUUAAUUCAAUUCUGCUUUGCUCAUAGAACACAGCACCUUCUCUGAUGAGGGUGUGCCAUGCUGGGCAGUCCUGUGCCAGUGUCUCCCAUGUCAUACAAUUAAUUCUAAAGUUCUUAAUAGAGACCUUGAAAAUGUCCUUUUUCUGACCAUUUUGUGAGCACUUGCCCAGAGAAUGCUUGGCAGUUUAAUCUGAGAAAGGAUCUCACUGUUUAGUUUCUUAUCAUGCCAGGUGAUCUUCAGAAUCUUCUCAGACAAUUCAAAUGAAAACUAUUUAGCUUUCUGGAUAAAAUUCUGUGGUCUACACCAGUGGUUCUCAAACUUUUGUUUUCAGUAUCUUUAUCCUAUUAAAAAUUAUUGAGGAUCUCUCCAAAGCAUUUUUGUUUAUCUGGGUUAUAUUUACAGACAUUUACCAUAUUGGAAAUAAAAACUAUUUUUGAAUUUGUAGACCCUCUAAAAGGGUUUCAGAGAUCCCUGGGAUUCUCUAGACCAUACUUUGAGAACAACUGGUUCUCUUUUAUUCUUAGUCUUGCUCGAUCUCCAUUGCUUUUGGCCUCUCUUAUAUGCAUAGAGUCACAUAAAUAAUCAGCUGCUAAGUCAUAUAGGGGAAUUUGUGGUAUAGUGAAUGGAGCAGUGGAGAGCAAUUCUAGUGGGAGCCAAAAGACCUAGGUUAUAGACUAAGCUCUGACAUAAGAGAAUUGCAUGGUUAACUUCUUUGUCAAAAAAAAUGAGGAAGUUGGUCUAGACUUGCGUUCUUAAUCUUUUUUGCGUCAUUGACCCCUUUGGGAGUCUUUCAUUCAAUAAUAAUUUUAAAUGGAUUAUAAAGGAAACUAUAUUGAAUUAUGGUUAUCAAUUUAUAUUAAAAACAACAAGUUUAUGGACUCCAUAUUAAGAAUUAUCUUCAUCUAGAGGAUCUACCUUUAUCUAGAGGAUGUCUGAAGUUUCUUUCAGCUCUAAAUUCUAUGAUUGGAACCAUAAUUAGGGCAUUUACCACCUGAGGCAAAUGCAUCUGAGAGUGGCCUAGUGACCACUUCCUAUGCUGCUAUUUGAUCAUAGGUUAUUAUCUAGCUAUGCUAUACUACUUUGUUGCCUAACUGUGGUAUAGGGGCACAUUCCCCUGCACAAUUCCAAGAGCCCUUGACCACUACUGUUCAUGGGAAGAGGUUACCUUAGUAAAAAUAAUUAUUAUUUCUCACUUGUUUUAAUAAUUAAUUAUUGAAUUGGGGCCAAGGAUUUUCCCUUUUUCCACUUCCUUAUCCAGAAAUCAACCAGUGUGGGAAAUCUCUCUCAAAGACUUACCUAAAGAGCUAAAUCAAAAACAGUAAAAUAAAUUCUAAGUUUAGGCUAAUGAAUAGAUUUUUGCUCAUUGUGUUUACUCAGGCAGGUUUGGGAAAAUGUGAAUUUUCCUUUUUGUCAGACAGAUGAUAUGGAAAUUGAUGUUUCAAGUCUUAUACCCCAAGACCCUCAUUUUAACAUAGCCCAUUUCCUAUUAUAAUACUCAUUCUUUUUUAUUAUUUAAUGACUAAUUAGAGUUGAUUUUCAUGGUCAGAUCUGCUUCUCUUUCAAAAGACUUAAUAAAUAUUGAAGGUUCACCAGGUUUAUUCCUGUUUUUGUUGACUGUUUUCCAGACAUAGUCAACAAAUCUGAUUUUCAUUUACCCAAAAACUUUUUCUCUUAGAACUUUUUGAAUGUCACAGUUGGGAACUAAUUCCUAGUGUGAUGGCUAUCCAUAGGCUAUUCAGGAGCUUUUGUGCCUUUCUUCCCAGCUAGAAGGUGGUAAAAGGUUUUUGUCUCACCCAGACCUAUCCCUGGAAAUCCUAGAGACCAAAAACAUGUGCUCUCUGGAGUUGGACUGUAGUUGAAGAGAUGCUUCUUUAGCCAGGAGUUGUCUUCUAUUUCCUAGCCCCUCUGCCGAAGAUUGUACCAAUCUGAAGGAGGAGCAUCUCUCCUAGGAUUCACCUACCAGAGACAUAAAGUAUUUUUCUCUUUUUUUGUCUCAUGGGCAGUUGAUCACCAUGAGAAAAAAACAACAGCUAAACUAACUAAAUCUGUUCUCUCAUAUUGUCUGUAACUUCCGUGGAGCAAAGAAUAGAUGGCAUCACUCUAGUUUUUUCUCCAUCAGAUUGAUUAGAGAAAAAGAGAGUAGAGAGCUCUAUAACAGUACAAAAGCAGGCUUGUAGUACAAAUGAUUAUUCACUCAAGUAAUUGACAUAUUAAGGAUUAGAUUACCCCUAAUUUUUAAAAUCUGGUAGCUUAUGAUGGGACUGAAACUGGCUUUGGUGAAAUAGGUAGAUAAUAAUACUUAAUAGUAUGAAUAUGGUAUGGGGAAUAAUCAUGUAUAUUUUUUAUUUACUAGAAAAAUAUUUAUUUUUAUUCAUUUAGAGGCAAUGCAAUCUAGUGGAAUGGAUACUUGUUGUGAAUUCUUUGGACAUGGGUUCAAAUUCCAGCUCUGCUACUUCCCACAUGUGACUCCGUAGUCAUUUCAGCUCCCUAACUCAGGGGUUCCCUAUUUAUAAAAUUGAAGAGACUUUAAAGUCCCUUCCAGAUUUAAAUCUAUAGUUCUUUGAUUCCUUACUCAAGCAUUCUGGGUUUAUAGAAAAAGAGGAGGCAAUACAAAAAUUUAGCUCAAGGGCCUGUGUUCCUUCCCACUUACUGGCCUGGCUACCAGCGAUUUUUUUCUCCCAGAAUGUUUUUUAUUCUGUUUUUUUCAUAAAUGUCUUAGAUUCAAUAGAAAGUUUCUAGAACUUCCCUCCCUUUGGCACUGAGAGCUUGACUUCAUUGCAGAACCCAAAUUUAAACCUUAUGUCUCCACUCAACUUUUCCUCAGUUUUUCUUUAAAGGGAACCAAAAGAAACUGGAUUAUAGGGAAAAGAGAAAAACAUCAGGAGGCAGGACCUCUCCAUUUUAACUCUUCGUCUACCAUUUACUAACUGGGAUCUUAGAUAAACCUCUCUGCCUCCCUGGCUACUCCCCAAAAAAGGGGAUUACAAGGCAUUGUUGGUGUGAAGGUAGUAAACUGGAACAAAAGAUCUUUUGAACUCAGUUGCAGCUGUGGUAUCCAUAGAAUAGAGCCUUCAUAAUGUUCUCUAAAAGAAUGACUGUUAGUUUGGUUUGUUUUUUUUCCCCUACUACAAUAAAGUUAUUGUUCAUUUUCACGUUUCUGGCUGAAAGGAUGGAAAUUCUCAAUCUGUCUUAGAUUGUCAGCUGAGUAAUUUAUUUACUGCUAUUCCACAAGUGUUGACUUGUAGGAGAGCACAAUCUAAGUGGAACAGAGAGGAGUUAGUAGCAAGCCAGAAUGAGAAAUGAAAAACUUUCAUGCUGCAGUGAUUCAUAGGAAUAGAAUGUUUUCAUUUAGUUUUUCCUUUUGUGCGCUCUCUAGUGCUCUCGGUCUCUCUCUCUCUCUCUCUCUCUCUCUCUCUCUCUGUCUCUGUCUCUGUCUCUGUCUCUCUUUCUGCUUCUGUCUCUCUAUCUCUUAAUUCAGAGUAGAAUGAAGGAAAAGAGUUUUUUUUUAAAUAAUUUCUACACUAGAUUCCUUUCCUUUGGGAAAAAAUUAAAUUGUUAUCCUAUGCUUUAAAGUGUUUCUAUACCAAUAGAAUAUUUGCCCCAUUUUUUUCAAGAAUGAAUAUUCUGGCAUCAGUACAAAGUAGCUUAGAGCUUUGGCUGACCCACCAACAUUCUCUACUGUAUUUCUUGCUUUGAAGUAACUGAAUUCCAGCUUUAGUUGGUCCAAUAUAGGUUCCACUAGAUAUCUCUACGCUGUAACGACCUCAACCUCACCAGACAUCAUAUACCAAAUUACUUCUAUUAACAAAGUAAGUAACAAUAUACUAAAAGCCACCAAAUUCCCUACCCAACUCUCCGGAUACUCCUCAGUAGCCAUAGCCACAGUAUAACCAAACACCACUAAUAUCAAAAAUACAAUUAAUCCCAAAAAAGUUACUAUUUAAACUCACAACAAUUGCACAACCCAAACCCCUGCUAACCACAAGACCCAAGAUCCAAACCUCCAUACCCAAGAGAAGGCUUAGAAGCAAAAGCAACAAACCC
RNAcentral lists this long non-coding RNA (6784 nucleotides) under Sarcophilus harrisii (Tasmanian devil). RNAcentral describes it as "lncRNA (ENSSHAG00000031212.1)". The record is from RNAcentral. Lineage: Eukaryota; Metazoa; Chordata; Mammalia; Dasyuromorphia; Dasyuridae.